CCGACUAGCAGCUUCCGGGAAACCAAAGUUUUUCGUUUCCGGGGGAAGUAUGGUUGCAAAGCUGAAACUUAAAGGAAUUGACGGAAGGGCACCACCAGGAGUGGAGCCUGCGGCUUAAUUUGACUCAACACGGGAAAACUCACCCGGCCCGGACACCGUAAGGAUUGACAGACUGAGAGCUCUUUCUUAAUUCGGUGGGUGGUGGUGCAUGGCCGUUCUUAGUUGGUGGAGCGAUUUGUCUGGUUAAUUCCGAUAACGAACGAGACUCUGGCCUAUUAAAUAGUCGGUAUAUCCGGAAAAGUUUACCGUACUUCUUAGAGGGACAAACGGCGUCUAGCCGCGUGAAAUAGAGCAAUAACAGGUCUGUGAUGCCCUUAGAUGUCCGGGGCUGCACGCGCGCUACACUGAAAGAAUCAGUAUGCGCUUUAACCUAGUCCGGAAGGAUUGGGUAACCCGAGCAAAUUCUUUCGUGCUUGGGAUAGGGAAUUGCAAUUAUUUCCCUUAAACGAGGAAUUCCCAGUAAAUGCGGGUCAUAAGCUCGCGUUGAUUACGUCCCU
Molecule: ribosomal RNA, 557 nt
Filed under: Xiphinema sp. MHb16
Lineage: Eukaryota; Metazoa; Nematoda; Enoplea; Dorylaimida; Longidoridae
Description: SSU rRNA
Rfam family: Eukaryotic small subunit ribosomal RNA
Source: RNAcentral